Molecule: long non-coding RNA, 249 nt
Organism: Telopea speciosissima
Lineage: Eukaryota; Viridiplantae; Streptophyta; Magnoliopsida; Proteales; Proteaceae
Exons: 3
Source: RefSeq, a predicted model, not a curated record
GACACCAUCGGCCUAGAUUUCCUCAUUUUACUAAUGAUUCUCCCAUCACUUGACUGGUCAGGAUCUUGGGAUGAUGUCUUCAAGGUUUCAGUUGGCCUCUAUCUGGUAGGAACUGUUGUCUGGAACUUCUUCUCUACUGGAGAGAAAAUUCUGGAUUGACCAUUAGCAUAAAUAACUGAUUAUAUCUGUGGGCUAGCUUUUGCCGACAUACAUGACAUGGAAAGAGAUCUGGGAGAUAAAAUUAAGAGA